AAUAACUCGUGAAAUACGCUAAAAACGCUCACUUUCACACACGUAUAACUUCUGAACCGAUGGAUUCCGCGCCUUAAAACUAGGAUUUUCAGAUUCUACUCGUAAAAUACUUCAAGAAGGUAAAAAAAAAGGCCAUAAUUUUUGGGCCCCUGAGCUUAUUCUGGGAGACACGAUGAAUGUUUCUCAGUCCACAGUCUCCCGCAUAGUAUUUAGGGUGAGUUUACUAAUAGGCAGUCUGAUGACGGAGUAUAUCAAGUUUCCCAGGGAUCCGGACAAUUCCACUCAAAAUUGCAGGUUAUUCAAUAAUCUGGGACAGGGAAACGGAGCUAUUGGUUUACCAGGUGUGGAUUUUAUAUCAUUAUAACUUUUUCUAUAUACACAUAUACAUACAUACAUACAUAUACACAUUAGAUUAACAGCAUUCAACAACAUGAAAGAAAUGUACAGAAAUAGAAAAGGAUAUUUUUCAUUGAAUGUUCAGGCUGUCGUGGGUCCUCGUAUGGAAUUUUCCGUACAUCCCGAUUACACAUGGGAUAUGUGACGGGAGAAUUAGAUGGAAUCUUUGUCGGGGAAGGUGGAUAUCCAUAUCUGCCUUUUCUCAUGACACCUCUGCGGAAUCCACAGACUGAAGAAGAAAUAAGGUACAAUGAAAUCCAGAUCAGGACCCGACAGAUAGUAGAAAGAACGUUCGGUCUUUGGCAUUCUUGUAGAAGAAGAUGAAAUUGAAAACCAAAAUGAAGAUGGAGAAGAAUUAUUAGGAAACGUGGAAAAUUUUAAUGGCAUUGAUGGAUUUGCUACACGUGAAGCACUGAUUGCCCGUAUGUUUCAUGUAAUUUGUGUAAUUGUGUCAAACGAAAUGUAAUAAGGGGUUUUUCAUGCCGCAAGGCUUUUUCACCUUAUUGUGUCUAUCGAGCGAAUAAAUAAUCAUUAUUCUUUCAGCUCAAAUUGGUUUAAUUUAUUGAUUAAAAUAUUCUCAUCCUCAGUCAUAUCACAACCUAUACCUUAAACCACAGGAUUUUUGCAAUAUCUUUUGCAAUCACAUACUGCUGAUUUAUUAAUGAUCUUCAAUAAUUGAUAAGUUUGCUACAACUACUUUUAAUUCAUUUUUUAGGAUUCAUAAUCAAUAGAAAGAAUUACAUUUAAAUUUUUCUUUUAAAUAA
Osmia bicornis bicornis is the source of this 1160-nucleotide RNA transcript. RefSeq lists it as uncharacterized. The transcript is spliced from 4 exons. The record is from RefSeq and is a predicted model, not a curated record. Lineage: Eukaryota; Metazoa; Arthropoda; Insecta; Hymenoptera; Megachilidae.